GAUCCUGGCUCAGGAUGAACGCCGGCGGUGUGCCUAAUACAUGCAAGUCGAACGCGUUGGCCCAAUUGAUUGAUGGUGCUUGCACCUGAUUGAUUUUGGUCGCCAACGAGUGGCGGACGGGUGAGUAACACGUAGGUAACCUGCCCAGAAGCGGGGGACAACAUUUGGAAACAGAUGCUAAUACCGCAUAACAACGUUGUUCGCAUGAACAACGCUUAAAAGAUGGCUUCUCGCUAUCACUUCUGGAUGGACCUGCGGUGCAUUAGCUUGUUGGUGGGGUAACGGCCUACCAAGGCGAUGAUGCAUAGCCGAGUUGAGAGACUGAUCGGCCACAAUGGGACUGAGACACGGCCCAUACUCCUACGGGAGGCAGCAGUAGGGAAUCUUCCACAAUGGGCGCAAGCCUGAUGGAGCAACACCGCGUGAGUGAAGAAGGGUUUCGGCUCGUAAAGCUCUGUUGUUAAAGAAGAACACGUAUGAGAGUAACUGUUCAUGCGUUGACGGUAUUAACCAGA
This 515-nucleotide ribosomal RNA is filed under the name Lactobacillus sp. BAB-2812. RNAcentral's name for it is "bacterial SSU rRNA". It matches the Rfam family "Bacterial small subunit ribosomal RNA", at positions 15 to 487 of the family's 1533-position model. The record is from RNAcentral. Lineage: Bacteria; Bacillati; Bacillota; Bacilli; Lactobacillales; Lactobacillaceae.